Molecule: long non-coding RNA, 546 nt
Filed under: Prunus dulcis (almond)
Lineage: Eukaryota; Viridiplantae; Streptophyta; Magnoliopsida; Rosales; Rosaceae
Description: sRNA ncRNA
Source: RNAcentral
UGCUCUAAGCACUGAAUUAUUUGGUGAGAUAAUGAUGCCCCAAGCUGUGAGAGAAACAACAUAUUCGUACAGAUCAUGCUCUAUUUCAAAACAUGAGGAGUCCCUCACCUUGUUUGAGUGUACCAAUAUGUUCUGCAACGAAAGUUCUCAACUUCACUUGUGGGUCAUGGAAGAGUAUGGUGUUUGGACCAAAUUGGAUACUUAUUCUUUGCCUGUUCUUGAUAAAAUUGAAUUAAUUAUUUUCAUUUGCUUUGUCUUUUCAGGAUGAUGUUUUGAACUCCUAGUGAGUAGUGCCAAAAGAUAUCCAGUUUUACUUGUGUUCAACAUAUUUCUGGCGUUGUAUGAUUGCACUGACAGAGAUCCAUUUUAAGGUUAUCUAAGCCAUAUGGCUUCUUAGGGUCAGUUAGAUGUGAGUUCUUUUUUAUUAGACAAGAAUUAAUGGAAUAUAUGAGGUUCGAAAUUUUGUUAGGGUCAGUUAGAUGGUGCAAGUCUCUCUGAAUUGUUGUUUAUCCGACUCUAUUGAACUAUGAGCAAAGGUUGUUUAAG